RNAcentral lists this ribosomal RNA (229 nucleotides) under uncultured bacterium. RNAcentral describes it as "partial 16S ribosomal RNA". It matches the Rfam family "Bacterial small subunit ribosomal RNA", at positions 568 to 796 of the family's 1533-position model. The record is from RNAcentral.
UGCGCAGGCGGGCUUGUAAGUCAGUGGUGAAAUUUUGCGGCUUAACCGUAAAACUGCCAUUGAUACUGCAAGUCUUGAAUAUGGUUGAGGUAGGCGGAAUGCGUUGUGUAGCGGUGAAAUGCAUAGAUAUGACACAGAACGCCGAUUGCGAAGGCAGCUUACUAAGCCAUGAUUGACGCUGAGGCACGAAAGCGUGGGGAGCGAACAGGAUUAGAUACCCUGGUAGUCC